Long non-coding RNA from Heterocephalus glaber (naked mole-rat), 1374 nucleotides. The record is from Ensembl. NCBI's taxonomy places the organism in Eukaryota, Metazoa, Chordata, Mammalia, Rodentia, Bathyergidae.
CGCUUUCCCAGUGCCCGCGCACCUGGGGGCUGCGCCCGGGGGUGUUGGCCUUCCUCUAGGGCAGGCAGCCUUCCGGCCGCAGAGGACUGGCAAGUAAGUGUGCAGGGUCCUAGGGGUAAAGCUCUCAGGAAAGCCCUCGCAUGUGGGCGCCUAGCAGGGCUUAAGGAGACCCAGCCCCGAACAGGGUGUGUACGGUGAAUCCCCAAGGAGGACUUGGCCUUUCUGUGAUCUUGGCAAGCCCUUACCGAGAGGGCGCUCCAACUGUAAAGUGGGGGUCACAAUGCUACCUACUCCCACAGGGCUGUUUUCAGGAUGAGGUCAGCUCCUGCCUUGUAGUCAGCUGCCAACAACCUUUUGUUUUGAUGAGCCCAGGGCCUGCCACGUGGUAGGUGUUCACUAGAUUGUGUAUACUCUUGAAAGCACCCUCUGAGCUGGGACCAACCAGUGGGAAAGUGAGUUGAAUCAUCCUCGCUCUGCCGCCUGCAGCAGCCUGGCAUCCAGUAGACAAUUAUUUGGAGCACCCUGGAGAGUGAUGGACGGGUUCACACCGUGAACAGGCAGUGGCAGGUGAGGGGGCCUCCGAGGGCUCUUCUCUCUUCCCUCUUGGGACCCAUUGGUCCCAGUUGGCCCCAUGCAGAAAGCAAACAGCUUGAAUCAUACAGGAGGCAAAAAAACAAAAAAGGCAGAGCAGGCCUGAAGUGGGAAGAAACUGUUCAUCUGAUGUUCAGAGCCAGGAGCAGUCAGGUUUAUUCCGGGGCUGUGCAGGGUUUUCACUUGCUUGAGUCUGUAAAGUAGCAGGUAGAGGUGGCUGCCGGGGGCAGGAAGGGGCAGAGAGAGGACACGAUCUGCAGAGAUGGCUACCUGAGGUCCUUUUCAGCUCCAGGAGUCCUGGGGUUUCAUAACCCACAUGAUUCAUCCGAUCAGCAGUGGCCAAGGUGGGACCUCAAAGAACAUCUGAUGGGCACCACGUCUGGAGAAGUUUCGCCACAUCACUUACUUCUGGGCAACCUCGGGCAAGUUCUUCGUCUCCUUCUGUUGUCAUCUUGCAGGGUACGGUGAGGACCACAGGAGGUGACUGGUGCAGUUCCCCUGUCCCGUGCCUGGGGACCAGUAAGCGCCGCAAAAAUGGAUUGACACCCACCAAGUCCUUCAUCCUUUGAAGGCUGUGCCACACUGAACCUCACAGUCGCCUGCCACAGGGUCCAAUUCCUGGCUCUCCAAUGAUGCUUCAGAUUCCUGCUCUCCUAUGUUGUCAUCUCUCAAAGGUUAAACAUUUGAUAACCAAACAUUUCUGUGGCUCAAAUGAUUUUGUGUCUGGCCCUCUUCAUUUGGAUUGGGGAUAAUUCUCUCACUCUUUUUUCUUUCUCCUCUGAG